This 101-nucleotide small RNA is filed under the name uncultured Bermanella sp. RNAcentral's name for it is "t44 RNA". It matches the Rfam family "t44 RNA". Rfam says of the family: This family consists of a number of bacterial RNA genes of between 135 and 170 bases in length. The t44 gene is found between the map and rpsB genes in all species in the full alignment apart from Shigella flexneri. Lineage: Bacteria; Pseudomonadati; Pseudomonadota; Gammaproteobacteria; Oceanospirillales; Oceanospirillaceae. The record is from RNAcentral.
UUUAAUAAAUCCGCACAUACAUCGACACAUUGUUCUGGGUGUUUAAAUAUUGGCUUUAGGGCCUGAUUUAGAUUGGAUAAUGGGAUGUAUGGAGGCCUAAC